Molecule: ribosomal RNA, 256 nt
Filed under: uncultured bacterium
Lineage: Bacteria
Description: partial 16S ribosomal RNA
Rfam family: Bacterial small subunit ribosomal RNA
Source: RNAcentral
UACGUAGGCAGCGAGCGUUGUUCGGAGUUACUGGGCGUAAAGGGUGUGUAGGCGGUUUUCUAAGUUUGGUGUGAAUCUCCCGGCCUCAACCGGGAGGGUGCGCCGAAACUGGGAGACUGAGAGUGCGGGAUGGGAGAGGUAGAAUUCCGUGGUGGUAGCGGUGAAAUGCGUAGAUAUCAGGAGGAAUACCGGUGGCGAAGGCGGUUCUCUGGGCAUUACCUGACGCUGAGGAGCGAAAGUGUGGGGAGCGAACAGG